UCGCUGAUACGAAAAUUUAUUGUAUUUACUUUAUUCAAUUGGACCAACUUGCAGCGUGUGGACGAGUCAAGGAGCUUUCCGAGGAGCCAGCCGAUCCCACAGAGAAACCAGAUAAGCCGCCAUGUCCACGCAGCCAGCGGAGAAUGAGGAGAGUGCGGCGGCCAAGUCCAAGCGACCUUCAGAUUCGGCCUUCAAGCAGCAGCGCCUGCCCGCCUGGCAGCCCGUCCUCACCGCCCGCACCGUCCUGCCCACAUUCUUCGUGAUCGGGGUGCUCUUCAUACCCAUCGGCGUGGUCCUGCUGCACCUGAGCAACACCGCCAACGAGCUGAUCAUCGACUACACCAAGUGCAGGCCCUCCGGCGGCAACGCCACCUGCGCCGAGUACCUGGAGGCCAACGCUGGCGGCCAGUGCACCUGCCAGGUGCCCUUCGUCCUGCCCACGGACUUCAAUGGCGUGGUGUACAUGUACUACGGACUGACCAACUACUACCAGAACCACCGUCGCUAUGUGAAGUCACGGGACGACGAGCAGCUGCUGGGUCACCUGUCGCAAACGCCCAGCACGGACUGCGCCCCCUUCGCCUACGAUCCGGAGUCCGGGAAGCCCAUCGCGCCAUGCGGCGCCAUUGCCAACUCGCUGUUCAAUGACACGCUGACCCUGAUGCAGGCCGGCACCGAGAUCAAGCUGCUAAAGACGGGCAUCGCCUGGCCGUCGGACAAGCGCGUCAAGUUUCGCAAUCCCGAGGGCAAUCUCAACGUCUCCCUCAAGGACUUCUCGAAGCCCAUGUUCUGGCAGAAGGGCCUGGCCGAGCUGGACCCGGAGAAUCCGGAGAACAACGGCUUCCAGAACGAGGAUCUGAUCGUGUGGAUGCGCACAGCCGCUCUGCCCAGCUUCCGGAAGCUAUAUCGCCGGCUCAACCAGACGGACAGCACCUAUGCGAAUGGUCUGAAGGCCGGCAAUUAUACGCUGCAUAUCACGUACCAAUAUCCAGUGGUCUCGUUCGACGGCACCAAGCGCAUGAUCCUGUCCACCACCUCCGUGCUGGGUGGCAAGAACCCCUUCCUGGGCAUUGCGUACAUUGUCGUGGGCGCCAUUUGCAUCACACUGGGCCUGGCCCUGCUUUUUAUCCACAUGCGAUGCAAUCGCAGCAUAGUAGUGCAUUAAGAGUCGAGAAAUUCAUAGCCCAUUGAAGCCGCAUUCCUUCUCAUGGCCAAAUUAGCUUUGCCCGGUGCGCGAUAACAGCAACAUGGAGAUGAUCAACGUGAACCCGCACACGCAGUACUCCUAGACCGAGCAGACCGUCAGUAUUCCGGGCCGCUUCACUUAGCUUUAGUAGAUCCAUCUGUUUAAGCCUUAUCAGCAUAAAAUAGUUUCUAUCGACCAAACGGCACUCGACUGUUCUCUUCUUUAUGUUAACUAACUGUGUGCAUUUGGCCAUCCGAUGAGCCGAUGGUCGUGCCUCUUGUUGAUUCUACUUCUUUUUGUCUUCAUGCGUGCACCCGACAAAACAUUUGUGAUUCUUUUAUAUAACUUAUUCUGCACACCAAACACACCUAUGGGCGCCACACGAAUUUCCACCAUUGCUUUACAAACUGCAAAGUAAUACUUUGUGCCUGACCUAAUCUGUAUUGCCUUUUACUACGUUUAUACGCGCAAAUAAACACUGUUAAUGGCA
Drosophila takahashii is the source of this 1676-nucleotide RNA transcript. It is a transcript of the gene named cell cycle control protein 50A, with no coding region annotated. The record is from RefSeq and is a predicted model, not a curated record. NCBI's taxonomy places the organism in Eukaryota, Metazoa, Arthropoda, Insecta, Diptera, Drosophilidae.